Symphalangus syndactylus (siamang) is the source of this 2385-nucleotide long non-coding RNA. RefSeq lists it as uncharacterized. The record is from RefSeq and is a predicted model, not a curated record. NCBI's taxonomy places the organism in Eukaryota, Metazoa, Chordata, Mammalia, Primates, Hylobatidae.
AAUAUGUAAAAGAAGCAUCUGUUGGCAGUGCAUGAUGAAGUAUUCACAGUUGAAAUGGCAUGAUGUCUAGGAUUUUCUCUGGAAUAUUUUACAAUGUCAUCAAAUAGAAUUGGGGAGAUGAGUGAAACAAAACCAUUGAGAGCUGAUAAUUGCUGGAGAUGGUUAAUGGAUGCAAGGGGGUUAUUAUACCAUAAUAUCUGCUUUUGGUAUGUUUGGAAUUUUCUAUAAAUAAGACAUGCAAAAAUAGUUUCUAAAAAUACGUUUGAAUUCUGACGUUAUGUUUUCUAGAAAAACAAAAUGUAAAAUAUCCUUAGUAUUUAUAAAAUUAAUAUUGUGACAGGUUACUUUUCUAAAAUGGCAACUUUAUGGCCAGGAGCAGUGGCUCAUGCCUGUAAUCUCAGUACUGUGGGAAGAUCGCUUGAGCCCAGGAGUUUGAGACCAGCCUGUGCAACAAAGUGAGACUCUGUCUCUACUAAAAAUAAUAAUAAUAAUAAAAUAAAAAAUAAUAAAAUGGCAACUUUUUCUAAAAACAUUUGUUUGAUGGAAAUAACAUGAAAUAAGAUUACACAGCUCUAAAAUAAAUAAAGUAAAUAAUAUAAAAAAUAGAAAAACAAAGGAUAAAAAGAACAAAGGAAAGAAGGAGAGGAAUGAAAAAGAGAAAGGAAAGAAAAUCAUUGGUUGAUACGUUUUUAUGUUUAAAAAAUAUUUAUUCCAGUACUGUUCAAUGUCUAUUUAAAAUUUCUUAAUAAUCAUUAUUUUUGCCUAGAAACAUCAUGGUACAAGACUCUUACAAAGCUAUGGUUUAAUUUAUUAUCUUGUUAAGCACUUUUACUGUAGAACAGGCACAUUGUUUGAUGCUAAGAAGAACAAUAUUGUGUACCACACUAUAAUCAAGGUUGCAGAAAUACCUUCAAAUCUUCAAAAAAGUAGUUACCACAACUUUGACCAAGACCUGAAUCGAAAGAAGGAUGCUGAAAUUUAACACAAGAUGUGUAAGGACCAAGAUUCUUCACUCUUUGGAGGAAAAGAAAGACAGCCCAGUCAUUAUGUAGAGGAUCUAUAUUCAUCUGUGCUCUGAGAGUCAAUGCAUUAACAGGAGUUCUGUGGUCAUGGAGAUCCUCUGAAAAUUAAAAUGACAAAGAAACAGAGGGGAAAAUUAAGAUUUCAACAGGACAGAAAGGCUGGAAUGUGGUGGGGCGAUCAUAGCUUACUGCAGCUUUGAACUCCUGGGCUCAAGCAAUCCUCCCACUUUGGCCACCCAUGUAGCUGGGACCACUCGCAUGUGCCACCACGCCCAGGUAUUUCCAAGAUCGCAACCUAGAAAUGGUGAGAAGCCUACCCAGGACCACACUGACAACACAGUCUUCAAUGGUUCAGCCUCCUGCUGCCUCCAAGUGCCGGUGUUCCCAAAUGCAGGGGGAUUUCAGACUUUCAGCCUUUCAUUUACGUCCAAGGCACAGAUGCCAAGAUGUCCCCACGUCUGUCUUCAGAGUCUAAUUUGCAAAUUGGCAGCUUCAGACCACUCUCGCUAUCUGCAUUGCUAUAUUUACACCUGAGCUGAUGUGUACCCGAGGAAAGAGUGCUAUGACCCAGUGCUUGGAUGACUCGUCUAAAGCCAUCCAGAGUCUAACUCCUGUGCAUGGGGAGCCUUUCUGGGUCAUCUUCUCAUCUCUGCCUGGCCACUAAUGCUUGCCUUCUAAGACUGUAGAUGAAAAGGGUCAAACUGUGAAAAAUAUUUGAAAAGAAUUCUUCCGAGCCAAAUAUAAGAGACCAAUAGCCUGUGACACAGCUCUAGGAGAUCAUGAGAACAUGUACCCAAGGUAAUUGGUCUACAGUUUUGUUUAUACAUUUUAGCGAGACAUAAGACAUCAAUCAAUACAGGUGAGAUGUACAUUGAUUCUGCUCAGAAAGGCAAGACAACUUGAAGUGGGGAGAGGGGUUUCCAGAUCAUAGGUAGAUUCAAAAAUUUUCUGGUUGGCAAUUGGCUGAAAAAGUUCAUCUAAAGACCUGGAAUCAAUAGAAAGGAAUAUCUGGAUUAAAAUAAAGGCUUCUAGAGACCAAGGUUUUGCCAUAUAGAUAAAGCAAAAUGAAACAAAAGUAAGAAUUGAACUUGAGAGGCUUUGAAUAUGGAAGAGGCCCAAGCCCAGGAAUACAGGAGGCCCCUGGAAGUAGGAAAAGGCGUGAAAAUCAUUUCUGCCCUAGAAUCUCCAAAAGCCCUGCUGACACCUUGACCGAUAAGAAAUAUAAUAAAUUUAUUUCAUUUUAAGUCACUGAGUUUGUGAUGAUUUGUUGCAGCACCAAUAGGAAGCUAAAACAUCCUGCCCCAUCACCCCUCUUUGACUAGUCCACUUUUAACUCAAUUGCUCCAGCAAUAAAGAUUUAAAA